AUUGAACGCUGGCGGCAUGCUUUACACAUGCAAGUCGAACGGUAACAGGUUAAGCUGACGAGUGGCGAACGGGUGAGUAAUGCAUCGGAACGUGCCCGAUCGUGGGGGAUAACGCAGCGAAAGCUGCGCUAAUACCGCAUACGAUCUGAGGAUGAAAGCGGGGGACCGUAAGGCCUCGCGCGAUCGGAGCGGCCGAUGUCAGAUUAGGUAGUUGGUGGGGUAAAGGCUCACCAAGCCGACGAUCUGUAGCUGGUCUGAGAGGACGACCAGCCACAGUGGGACUGCGACACGGCCCAGACUCCGACGGGAGGCAGCAGUGGGGAAUUUUGGACAAUGGGCGAAAGCCUGAUCCAGCAAUGCCGCGUGCAGGAAGAAGGCCUUCGGGUUGUAAACUGCUUUUGUACGGAGCGAAAAGGCUCUCUCUAAUACAGGGGGCUCAUGACGGUACCGUAAGAAUAAGCACCGGCUAACUACGUGCCAGCAGCCGCCGUAA
RNAcentral lists this ribosomal RNA (493 nucleotides) under uncultured bacterium. Its description in RNAcentral is "partial 16S ribosomal RNA". It matches the Rfam family "Bacterial small subunit ribosomal RNA", at positions 29 to 523 of the family's 1533-position model. The record is from RNAcentral.